GUGGGGAAUAUUGCACAAUGGGCGCAAGCCUGAUGCAGCCAUGCCGCGUGUAUGAAGAAGGCCUUCGGGUUGUAAAGUACUUUCAGCGAGGAGGAAGGCAUUAAGGUUAAUAACCUUAGUGAUUGACGUUACUCGCAGAAGAAGCACCGGCUAACUCCGUGCCAGCAGCCGCGGUAAUACGGAGGGUGCAAGCGUUAAUCGGAAUUACUGGGCGUAAAGCGAACGCAGGCGGUUUGUUAAGUCAGAUGUGAAAUCCCCGGGCUCAACCUGGGAACUGCAUGUGAAACUGGCAAGCUUGAGUCUCGUAGAGGGGGGUAGAAUUCCAGGUGUAGCGGUGAAAUGCGUAGAGAUCUGGAGGAAUACCGGUGGCGAAGGCGGCCCCCUGGACGAAGACUGACGCUCAGGUGCGAAAGCGUGGGGAGCAAACAGGAUUAGAUACCCCGGUAGUCC
This 450-nucleotide ribosomal RNA is filed under the name uncultured bacterium. RNAcentral's name for it is "partial 16S ribosomal RNA". It matches the Rfam family "Bacterial small subunit ribosomal RNA", at positions 354 to 796 of the family's 1533-position model. The record is from RNAcentral.